CCUGAAGUCAGUGGUUGUGAGGGCUGCCUGGUUUUCAGUUUUUCUGUAGUGGGCCUAGUGUUGGGCACCAAGACCAAGUCCCACACUUACUUCCCUUUUUAUUCCCCAGGUGUUUGGUAUCUCUCCCUGCACUGUGCUGUCUGAGGUUGGGGAUAAGAAAUGGAGAAUACCAAACUAUAUUUACUGUUUACAGUAGUAAAGGACAACAAAUAAUGUACAAAUUGGUGAAUAAACACAACAGAGCCAACAAACAUCCCACCCGAGCCCAUACAGCAAACAGGAAAUGAGAACAUUUCAGCAAGAUUUCAAGCAAGCAAGAGACGAUGGGUCAUCGUUCAGGUGACUAUAAAAAGGCGGAGAAUGGCCACCAAGCAGCAAUGGAGCCUCAGGGAAGGACAAUAGGCAGAACUAUGAAAAUGUUUAAUUGGUAUAGAUCCCAAAAUAUUUCACAGAACUGAAAUCACCAGACUAAUGCAUAAAUUCAAUACAUAUUUGGAAAGCAGCACGGCACAAACCCACGAGAAGAACAUGAAGUCAUCAUUCCAUGGGUUCAUUUGUAACCACACUUGGAAGUAGCUCUUAUACACGACAACGUAACUGCAAAUUCAGCAAUACUUAGUCUUACUUUUUUAUGUAUAGACCAUAAUCAUUCACCAGAAGCAAAUACUAGAAGAAAUCUGAGGCCACAACACCAUUACCAAAUGAGAAAUGUGGGAAUUUCUUCAAUAUUAAGAGGGAGAAAAAGGCCAAUUUUGGUUGUGCCAAUCCUUGCCUGUGUACCAAUGCCAGUUACAGAUUCAUCCCUGCAGAUAUAGUUUUGAGUUGCACUUGAAGUACAUCAAAGAGAGGAAAAUCAUCGUGGUGAAUGUCCUCGAGUUUCCGCAGACGCCUCUGUGGUCGGCAUGGUCACGUGCUCACCAUUCAACAGCAAUGCGAGGAUGGACGGCCCGGGCUGGGGACGGGCCCUCUAGAAACUGUGCCCUGCCAGGCUGCUCUCCGGCACACCUCCCGUCUGCUGCUGGAACACGUCGAUGGUGUCCUCGUCCUCCAUCUCCAGCUGUGCUGGAGUGUCAGUUUCAUUGAUUGGCUGCCCGUCGAACCUGAAUCUGAUCUGCCUCAUUGACAAGCCCUGCCUCUCGCAGUAGGCCUUCAUCAGCUUGCUCAGCGGCGUGUGCCUCUUGAUCUUGAACUGCACCACGGAGCCGUCCUGCCCGGCCACCUUCAGGUUGAUGUGAUCAUUCUCUGUCUUCACACCCUCCUUGGGCUUCUCCUCGGACAUGGCUGCGCGAGCGGCGCGGGCAGGCGGCGCGGGGGAAGCAGCGCGGAGCGGGCGAGUCACGCUCUCGGCCCCGCCGCUCUCCCCUAUUCCCUCUUUUUUUAAAAAAAAGGUCUUUUA
Molecule: long non-coding RNA, 1396 nt
Filed under: Pan troglodytes (chimpanzee)
Lineage: Eukaryota; Metazoa; Chordata; Mammalia; Primates; Hominidae
Description: long non-coding RNA NONPTRT001548
Source: RNAcentral